AUGAACGCUGGCGGCGUGCCUAAUACAUGCAAGUCGAGCGCACAGAUGAGGAGCUUGCUCCUCUGACGUUAGCGGCGGACGGGUGAGUAACACGUGGAUAACCUACCUAUAAGACUGGGAUAACUUCGGGAAACCGGAGCUAAUACCGGAUAAUAUAUUGAACCGCAUGGUUCAAUAGUGAAAGACGGUUUUGCUGUCACUUAUAGAUGGAUCCGCGCCGCAUUAGCUAGUUGGUAAGGUAACGGCUUACCAAGGCAACGAUGCGUAGCCGACCUGAGAGGGUGAUCGGCCACACUGGAACUGAGACACGGUCCAGACUCCUACGGGAGGCAGCAGUAGGGAAUCUUCCGCAAUGAGCGAAAGCCUGACGGAGCAACGCCGCGUGAGUGAUGAAGGUCUUCGGAUCGUAAAACUCUGUUAUUAGGGAAGAACAAAUGUGUAAGUAACUAUGCACGUCUUGACGGUACCUAAUCAGAAAGCCACGGCUAACUACGUG
Molecule: ribosomal RNA, 496 nt
Filed under: uncultured bacterium
Lineage: Bacteria
Description: partial 16S ribosomal RNA
Rfam family: Bacterial small subunit ribosomal RNA
Source: RNAcentral